CGGGACACGUGGUAUCCUGUCUGAAUAUGGGGGGACCAUCCUCCAAGGCUAAAUACUCCUGACUGACCGAUAGUGAACCAGUACCGUGAGGGAAAGGCGAAAAGAACCCCGGCGAGGGGAGUGAAAAAGAACCUGAAACCGUGUACGUACAAGCAGUGGGAGCACGCUUAGGCGUGUGACUGCGUACCUUUUGUAUAAUGGGUCAGCGACUUAUAUUCUGUAGCAAGGUUAACCGAAUAGGGGAGCCGAAGGGAAACCGAGUCUUAACUGGGCGUUAAGUUGCAGGGUAUAGACCCGAAACCCGGUGAUCUAGCCAUGGGCAGGUUGAAGGUUGGGUAACACUAACUGGAGGACCGAACCGACUAAUGUUGAAAAAUUAGCGGAUGACUUGUGGCUGGGGGUGAAAGGCCAAUCAAACCGGGAGAUAGCUGGUUCUCCCCGAAAGCUAUUUAGGUAGCGCCUCGUGAAUUCAUCUCCGGGGGUAGAGCACUGUUUCGGCAAGGGGGUCAUCCCGACUUACCAACCCGAUGCAAACUGCGAAUACCGGAGAAUGUUAUCACGGGAGACACACGGCGGGUGCUAACGUCCGUCGUGAAGAGGGAAACAACCCAGACCGCCAGCUAAGGUCCCAAAGUCAUGGUUAAGUGGGAAACGAUGUGGGAAGGCCCAGACAGCCAGGAUGUUGGCUUAGAAGCAGCCAUCAUUUAAAGAAAGCGUAAUAGCUCACUGGUCGAGUCGGCCUGCGCGGAAGAUGUAACGGGGCUAAACCAUGCACCGAAGCUGCGGCAGCGACGCUGAUGCGUUGUUGGGUAGGGGAGCGUUCUGUAAGCCUGUGAAGGUGUGCUGUGAGGCAUGCUGGAGGUAUCAGAAGUGCGAAUGCUGACAUAAGUAACGAUAAAGCGGGUGAAAAGCCCGCUCGCCGGAAGACCAAGGGUUCCUGUCCAACGUUAAUCGGGGCAGGGUGAGUCGACCCCUAAGGCGAGGCCGAAAGGCGUAGUCGAUGGGAAACAGGUUAAUAUUCCUGUACUUGGUGUUACUGCGAAGGGGGGACGGAGAAGGCUAUGUUGGCCGGGCGACGGUUGUCCCGGUUUAAGCGUGUAGGCUGGUUUUCCAGGCAAAUCCGGAAAAUCAAGGCUGAGGCGUGAUGACGAGGCACUACGGUGCUGAAGCAACAAAUGCCCUGCUUCCAGGAAAAGCCUCUAAGCAUCAGGUAACAUCAAAUCGUACCCCAAACCGACACAGGUGGUCAGGUAGAGAAUACCAAGGCGCUUGAGAGAACUCGGGUGAAGGAACUAGGCAAAAUGGUGCCGUAACUUCGGGAGAAGGCACGCUGAUAUGUAGGUGAAGCGACUUGCUCGUGGAGCUGAAAUCAGUCGAAGAUACCAGCUGGCUGCAACUGUUUAUUAAAAACACAGCACUGUGCAAACACGAAAGUGGACGUAUACGGUGUGACGCCUGCCCGGUGCCGGAAGGUUAAUUGAUGGGGUCAGCGCAAGCGAAGCUCUUGAUCGAAGCCCCGGUAAACGGCGGCCGUAACUAUAACGGUCCUAAGGUAGCGAAAUUCCUUGUCGGGUAAGUUCCGACCUGCACGAAUGGCGUAAUGAUGGCCAGGCUGUCUCCACCCGAGACUCAGUGAAAUUGAACUCGCUGUGAAGAUGCAGUGUACCCGCGGCAAGACGGAAAGACCCCGUGAACCUUUACUAUAGCUUGACACUGAACAUUGAGCCUUGAUGUGUAGGAUAGGUGGGAGGCUUUGAAGUGUGGACGCCAGUCUGCAUGGAGCCGGCCUUGAAAUACCACCCUUUAAUGUUU
RNAcentral lists this ribosomal RNA (1812 nucleotides) under Escherichia coli. RNAcentral's name for it is "partial 23S ribosomal RNA". It matches the Rfam family "Bacterial large subunit ribosomal RNA", at positions 418 to 2215 of the family's 2925-position model. RNAcentral also lists the same sequence under 1 other name. Lineage: Bacteria; Pseudomonadati; Pseudomonadota; Gammaproteobacteria; Enterobacterales; Enterobacteriaceae. The record is from RNAcentral.